Molecule: long non-coding RNA, 1809 nt
Organism: Artibeus jamaicensis (Jamaican fruit-eating bat)
Lineage: Eukaryota; Metazoa; Chordata; Mammalia; Chiroptera; Phyllostomidae
Exons: 5
Source: RefSeq, a predicted model, not a curated record
CUCACCGGCGCUGAUGAGAAAGGCCACGGUGCCCAGGACCACCUGAGAAGGGGGGCUUUCCCUCUCCACACUGUUCGUACCUCUCAGAAGAGCUCUGCCAAGUGGGAAGUAGGUCACAAGAACAAGAGAAGUUUUCUUGCAGAGAACAUGAGCCUCAGCAGGCCAGUGGGCCAGGACUUGGUGUCUCUCCAGACUAAAUGCCGAAAGUAACUGCCCAGGCCACAAGUUGAAAGGGCCAGUGACCACAGGACAGUGUGCUUGAGAUGGUGGAGGCGAAGAAAAUAAAGUGAAACAUUAUGAUCUAAACCUGUCUUUCUUAACUUCUUUGGAUGUUAAGGCCCCUUUGCAAAAUCUAAGGCCAAGCUCUGCCUCUUGACCUGUGAAAAAUGCACAUCUGUGCAUUCCCACACUUUGACCUAACAUUUCCAAGAAGUUCACAGACUCCUCAAAGCCCAGAAGGCCCUGCAGAAUGUUUCAGGAGUCUCCUGGAAUUCAGCGCCCCAUCAGUUUGAUUUUGACUUGACGGUCGGUGAGGUUGAGCAUGCGAGACAGCUGCAGACGCUUCUCUUUGUUGAUGUACACGCUGAAGAAGAACUCCCGCUCCAGCUCCCGGAUCUGGUACUUGGUGUAGGGGCAGCGCUUUUUCCGGGUUUGCUCUCGGAGCCACCUCUGCCUCCGACCCCGGCCGGACCCUCUUCGGGGCCAGGGUUCGCCACCGAGGAUGUGCCUGCCUCGAGGCUUGCCCGAUUUGCACGGUGACUUGAUUACACGCUCGCAUUCAUGGUCACUUCCGAACCGCUUUAGUGCCUUCCGUCCCUAAACCGCCAACAACCAGGCGGCCUCCCCCGCGGUUUGUCAGGGAUCCGCAGGUCCCGGAGGGCCUUCGUCCUACCCGGGAUCCACCUCCCCUUCGCCCUCCUGGCCGGCCUCCUCUCCCCACUCUCUCCUCCCCGCUGCCCGCGGGGGGUCGGAGUCACUCCGCAGAGCCAGAGGCGCGGUGGCUGGGCAGGGGCGCACUGGUCCGCCCGCCCGCCUUGUCUUCGGAAGCUGAGGACUCUCGAAACCUUGCGGUAGAGGCGAGCCUGGGCAGCUUUAGAGGCGGUGACAUUCGAGGAGUCUUUUCCUGGGAGGCCCAACAGCGGAGCUGAGCCCACCCUGCUCAGGGCUCAGAGGAAGACCCGACGGGGACUAAGGCCGCCCUGGAAGUCCAAGUCCGAGUUGCAUUUCUUGAAAUGGCUGAGCCGGGCAAGACUAUGACAUUGGCCCUGGAGACUGGCUUCUCACGAGCCGUUCUUUCUCAAGAUUUCCACAGCGUGGGGCCAUCUCUAGAGAACAAUAUUCAGCAUGUAUUUCCUUCUCUCGUCAACCCGGAGUCCCACGGCAGCGAAUGCAAGAGGCCAAAAAUGUUUUGGAGGAAGAAAAACAAAGGCAGGAAGUGGCGGCGGACUGACGGUCUAGGCAGCCCUCGCGGGGCCGGCCCCAGCGCUCCCCGCACAGCCUUUGGAGAUGGCCACCCGGAGCGGAGAAGGCUGGCGCCCGCCCGCGCCAACCUCUUCAGGCGGAAAUGGCUAACGAGGAGAUUUGCUCAGCAAAGCAGACCUCGCCUUUCCAAGGCUUCGUUUGAUUAGGCCCUAAUGUUCGGGGGUGCGUGGGGGGGUGGGUAGGGGAGUUCUGCAGCACCUCUAGACCCUUCUCCAGUGGGCUGAGUGCGCCCGGGCAGGGACAGGCUGGUUCGUGCGCCCCCGCGCCCCCAGCGCCUUCCUAGGCAGGCUAUCGGAAUAAAGUGUGCCCAGGUGCUUCUGCCCAGCA